CUUUUAUAAGCAAUUUCAAGCAGCCCACACAACGCUUGGUCGAUCCUGCAUCCUAUUGGUCAGUUUGAAAAAUUGCGUUAGAAAUAAUUUAUUCAUCGAUGUUCUGGCAUUUACCACCAAUUGCUGUAAUGGCUUGUAUUUAGAUAACAUCCCCCACUGGACGAGUUAGAAGUCAACUUUCUUGUAUUUAUAAAAGGCAAUGCGGAUAUGUAGCUUUGCCAGAUAUAAAUAAUGUUAGCUUUUCGGAUGAAAAAUGUCCACACGAAUGGAAUCGGGCAAAUAUUUUAGUUUGCAUAUAACUUAUGAACUGGCCGCAUUUUUGGUUCAAUGGUCAGCUCGCGCAAGGGCCGUUAAGCCGGUGGGAAAAAA
Molecule: non-coding RNA, 369 nt
Organism: Paramuricea clavata
Lineage: Eukaryota; Metazoa; Cnidaria; Anthozoa; Malacalcyonacea; Plexauridae
Source: the annotation of a GenBank genome assembly